Mangifera indica (mango) is the source of this 781-nucleotide long non-coding RNA. RefSeq lists it as uncharacterized. Lineage: Eukaryota; Viridiplantae; Streptophyta; Magnoliopsida; Sapindales; Anacardiaceae. The transcript has 4 exons. The record is from RefSeq and is a predicted model, not a curated record.
CCGUGCUGAGGUUUUGCAAAGAAGGCCCGCAGAUCAAUUGGAUAGAGUCGCAAAAAGUUAAAAAUCAUUAAAAAAUUAAUUUUUGAUGAGCCAGUUUGACAAACACGUGGAUUAUUGAAUAAGUGAUUUGGUCAACUAGCACGUCCUUGUAGGGUGUUGGAGGUCUUGCUGCUACUGGUUUUGUUUCCAUGGCGGCUGCUACUGGAGCAGCCAUAGCAACAGGCUUUUUCGUCCUCAAUUGUUCAUCUGCAACGAGCAAAUGUGAUUGCGUAAGGGUGAGCCACAGCCUUGUUGGAAGGAGUUUGGCUAUCAACAGUUCAUCAUUGUCUGGACAACCUUAGACAAUUCCCUGUUUAGUUGUCAUUCCCUACUUACUGUCAUUGUCUGGACAACCAUAGACAAUUUGCUGUAUUUUUUAAAUAAAAAUUUGUAUUGACAGAAAACCCCUUAUAUUUUUAAUAUUUAUACGUUUUUCACGUUUCCAUUUUCUAUAUUUUUUAGAAAAUAUAUUUUCGCGUUUCCGUUUUCGUAUUUACAUGUUUUUGUAAUUCUGUUUCCGUGCUAUUUAGCUUGUUCCUUCACUGAUUUUGUAUUAAAUUAUUUGUAACAAAGCUAUAUUCUAUAGUAAACUGUUUCCUCCACACCACAAGUUUAUGAAAAUGAAAAUCUUUUCCAGGCAAAAACAUGGGAGAUAGAUUGCGGCUGUCAGUAGAAAUCAUGGGCAAUGCAGCUUCUUUGUUACUUUAUGCUGCACCCAUGUAACGUUGACAAAAUAUUCUAC